Molecule: transfer RNA, 73 nt
Filed under: Stegodyphus mimosarum
Lineage: Eukaryota; Metazoa; Arthropoda; Arachnida; Araneae; Eresidae
Rfam family: tRNA
About the family: Transfer RNA (tRNA) molecules are approximately 80 nucleotides in length. Their secondary structure includes four short double-helical elements and three loops (D, anti-codon, and T loops).
Source: Rfam by way of RNAcentral
GCCUUUGUGGUGCAAUGGUCAGCACACUAGGCACGUAUACGAGAGAUCCGAGGUUCGAGUCCCGGAGAGGGCA